Molecule: long non-coding RNA, 6863 nt
Filed under: Marmota monax (woodchuck)
Lineage: Eukaryota; Metazoa; Chordata; Mammalia; Rodentia; Sciuridae
Source: RNAcentral
CUUGGUAUUCUCCAGCUUCAUCCAUUUACUGGCAAAUGCCAUAAUAUCAUUCUUAGUAAGGCUAAGUAAUAUUCCAUUAUACACACACACACACACACACACAUUGUGUGUGUAUGUGUAUAUAUAUACACACACACAUACACACCACAUUUUCUUUUAUAAAAUGUUUUUAAAUUGUCAAUGGAUCUUUUAUUUUAUUUAUUCAUUUAUAUGUGUUACUGAGGAUUGAACCCAGGGUCACACAUGCCAGGCAAGUACUCUAUCGCUGAGCCACAACUCCAGCCCUAUACCACAUUUUCUUUAUCCAUUCAUCUGUUGAAGGACACUUAGGUUGGUUCCAUACUUUAGCUACUGUGAGUUGGGCAGCUAAAAACAUAGCUGUGGCUGUGUCACUGUAGUAUGCUGAUUUUAAAUCCUUUUGGUAUAAACCAAGGACUGGUUUAUAGAUAGCUAUAUCUAUUGCCAGAAACUUCCUAAAACACCCCUCAUAAUGAAUUUGGAAAUUCAGUUAAGCCUCCAUUGCUCUCACUUGCCACUGAGUCAUCUUCAGUGUUGUUUCUUUUCCCUGGAUGUCACCGCCAUAACAACUCCAUCUCUUUAGCUCCCAUUCUUCUUUUAGAAGUCCCCCAAGAAGUCUCUUUCUCUCUUCCCUGCACCACCAAGUCUAGCAUGGGCACCCUCCCAUGUUUUCCAUGGCACCCUGGGCUUCCCCUAUUAGCACUGAGCUCCCUAAAAUGGAGGAAACAUCUCUGCUCUGUGAGUUUCUUUUUAAAAGUAUUUUUUAAUAUUUAUUUUUUUAGUUGUAAUUGGACACAACACCUUUAUUUCACUUGUUUAUGUUUUUAUGUGAUGCUGAGGAUCGCACAUGCGAGGCGAGCAGUCUACCACUGAGCCACAACCCCAGCCCCUCUGCUCUGUGAGUUUCUAAUGUGGAAGCCUAACACAACAAAUAGAGGGAGAUUCUAAACUCUCCUUGACCCAUUCUCCUGCUCCAAAACCUUCCCUAGGUUUCCAUGCUAGUGUUUAGUUUUUUUUUUUUCUUUUCUUUAUUUCUUUCUUCAUAUUUUUAUUUGGCAUAAAAUAAUUGUGUUUAUGGCGUAUUAUGUGAAAAUUUGAUAUAAUGUAUACUGAUAAAAUCAGCAUAAUUAACACUUCCAUCUUUCUAAAUACUAAUUGUUUAUUUAUGUUGGAAAACUUCAAACUCCUCUCCUGUGGUUCUUUAUAAAAGAUACUAAAUUAUUGUAAACUAUAGUCACCCCACUGUGCUGAAAAUACUAGAACUUAUUCCUCCUGUGUUUUUGGUAGCCACUAUCCAACCUCCCUCCUUUGCCUCUCUUCUCCUUUCUAAUCUCUGGUGACUAUUAUUCUACUCUAUACUCCUAUGAAAUCACCUUUUAGGGUUUUCUUCAUGUUCAGUCUCUUUCCUAGGAAAUGUGCAGUGGAGUUUCUCACAGUGGGGAAACAAGGGGCUCACUGCAGGUUUAGUUGCUGUGGCAGUGACUAGUGACUAACCAGGGAUGUAAGGUGCCUUCCAGGAUUCCUUAAAGGAUGUAAGGAGAGUAACCACUUCCCCUCUGUCUGUCUAGACUGGCCCUGAUGGUCAGAGGGUUCCCCUCCACCCCCUGGAGAGCUCUGUACCAUUGACCCACUGCCAGUCAGCCUGGGAUUGUUUUUAUGUACUCUACAUUGGGUUCCAUUCAAACUGCACCUCUAACAAACUGUCAGGUGACUUUGGACACCUCGUUACGCUUUUAAUUCUUAAUUUGUAAGAUGAAGAAAGCUGUAUUUGGGGUUGUCAAAGGUGUCUUGCUUCCCAAAGUGCCCUAGAAUCUUAAACUUUCUUAACAGAAUCUGAGUCACAAUGGAAUCAAGCAAAGAAAGAAUGCAGAACACUGAACCCACCAUAUAGACCUUCAUUUCUCAACUGAAAGUCAUGCAGAAGAAGCUGCCCUGCCUCGUUCCUGCUCAGCCUCCUCUUUAUCCCCCAUCUACCCCUGCACUAGCUGGGUCUUCAGCUCCCUCCCUUCCUCCUCUCUUGCCUCUUAUCCCUAUGACUUCUCUGUCUCAUCGCCCUGUGACUUCCUCCAUCAGCAGUCACUUAGAUCAAACUAGUUCUCUUCCCAUCUCCUUCCCAAACCAUCUCCCUCCUCUUACCAAUCUUUCCUCAUCCCAUCUCCCUGCAUGGGUCACCUCUACCCUGGCCUGUCCUCCUCCUGUCACCUACCUUCCUCCUCUCCCUCUCCCUUCUAUUCGCCGUCCCUUCUGACUUGCUCCCCUCUUCUCCCAUGCUUCUCCCUUUAUCUCUGCCCCUCCUCUUCACCCUUCCUUCCCCCGAUGUAUGGGCCUUGGACCCAGAUAGAUACCCCUUGCUUCUGCUGGAACAUCUGCCCCAGCCUGCCCUCAUCAGGCCUGAUGAUACCCAUACUCCAUGUGGAGGCCCCAGAUCCCUACCAAGAGGGGACCUGGCUUCUCCCAGAGCUUCUGGGAUUGUGGUAUCCAGCAUCCUAGUGACCUGGUGGACAUGGGGGACACUGAAUGGUGACUAGCAGUAAUACAACCUGGAGGAGCACCUCCCUCAGGUAAGGGUCUCUUUCCCAAGAUUGCGUUCUCAGCCAGUACCUAGACGUUAAUUCUCCGGCUGGCUCAAUCCAGUGCAUUCCUUCCUCCUUCCCCAGGAUUAUUUUUACAUAAGAUACUCCAUUAGGGAGGAAAGUUUAGGAAAAAUGCCAAGUGAAUUCUGAUUAUCUCUAAUAAUCACAAUUGUUAAGUCACAUGUUCUGACAUACAGACACAAUAGGACACAGUGUAUGCACAUACAGGUUACUAUAACCUUGCAGAGAGAUCAGCAUGGACAUAUGAGGCAGCUUUAGCCUGAUGGUGUGAGUGCAAUGCUCCUAAGAUGUUUUGUUUUCCCUUCCUUUUGAUACAAUACCAACAACUUGAUUUGGAUCUCUCAGUUUAGUUCUAUUUCAUAUUUAUCAGUUGAACUCCAUUUGGUGAUAGCAUACACUUAAUCUUGGAACAAGAUUAAGCUCAGGAACAAAGGUCCAAGCUAACCAUUCUUAGUUCAUAUCCUGAUUUUAUCAUUGGCCUGUGCCGGGUCUCACUCUUGUUUUAUUUACUUAUUCACUUUUUAAAAAAAAAUUUUUUUAGUUGUCGGUGGACCUUUAUUUUAUUUAUUUAUAUGCAGUGUAAGAAUUGAAUCAGCUUCACACACACUAGGCAAGUGCUCUACCACUGAGCCACAACCCCAGCCCUAUUUAUUCACUUUUAGCCCUUUUCCCACUUGUCCUCACCUCUGAAGAGACAGGAGGACUGCAAGUUCAAGUUCAGACUCAGCAACUGAUUGAGGCGCUAAGCAAUUUAAUGAGACCCCAUCUCAAAAUAAAAAAUAAUAAAAAGGACUGAGGAUGUGGUAAAGCAGCUCUGGGUUCAAUCCUCAUUAACAAAAAAAAAAAAAAAAGGAAAAAUAAAAAGACCUCUGAACACAUUUUUCUAUGUGCACAUAGAUAUUCUUGUAAAAUAUGUGGCUCUUAUUUUGUGGAUUAUAUUUUUAAAUUUUGUACAUAUCAUGCUCGAGACUUUAUUAGCCUUUUCCCCUAGCAACUUUUUUUGUGUGUGUGUGUGUGUGUGUGUGGUGCUGGGGAUUGAACCCAGGGCCUUGUGCAUUCAAGGCAAGCACUCUACCAAUUGAGCUGUAGCCCCAGUUCCCCUACUCUCUAUUUUUAAGAUCCAUCUCUGCAUGUAUACAUCAUCUGCAUUUCUAACUUUUGCACUGUAUGUACUCCAUAUUGUACUUACCUCUGUUACAUGCAUCCAUUUCCCCAGGGACAGAGGGAACCUAGACUGCCUCAAACUCUCCACCUCCAUGGACUGUCUUUCACAUGUUCACUUUUAAUACCAUGUGAGAGCUCUGUCAAAUUGGUACCCAGUAUGGGAAGUAUUGGGUUAAAUAGGUUGCUCCAAUCUAAACUUCCACACUUACAAAUACGUGUCCUCCCUGGGAUUGAAAUCAUUCAUCAUAUGUAUUCAUAAGGUCAGUUCAGUAAGAUCCCUCUGGGCCAUGGACAUGCCUGAGACCAAGUGUGGGAAGUGAUUUUAUCAAACCCACAAGAGGAAUUUUGGUUUUGUUGAGGCAAAAAUUUUUAUAACUAGUUUAUGUUUUGCAGAUUCUCCUGUCCUUGUGGUGUUCUUUUAUCCGUCUAUGGAGUUUUGAUAUGUGCACGUGCACGUGCGAGCGCACACACACACAAAUUGAGACUGUAGACUCCCCAUUUUACCACUGACACAGCAAGCAUUAGCUAAUGGCCCAGGGUCAUGUUAGGGUUAUUUUAAUGGAGCCACUUGGCAGACUUCUUCUGCAGCCUCUUUACAACUUGUUCUUAUAUUUAUUACUACUCUAGUAUUGCUAUUACACAUCCAUCCACAGUGCCUCCCACUUUUCAGAAGCUGGUGGGAUGUUCAGCAAGUUCCUUUUCCUUAGGCAGGUUGCUCCCCACCACCCCCUUAUCAUCUGUGCUAUGCAUAUUAUCAGUAGUGCUGAGUAGUACCCCAUAAACUAAUAUGACACAAACUGUUUUUCCAUUGCACUCGUAGGUAGAUAUGACGAUUAUCCAUAUGUUGCCUCUUAACUCCUAACUUGCUCCUUUUAAGCUGUCCUUUCAGUGAGCACAACAUUGAACUUUGUCAGUAGAUGGUGGCAGGGGGACAUUGCAGGUGGAAGGAACUCCUCAUCCUGGUUCCAGUGUGCUCCUGUUUUAUCCCCUCCUACUGCUCUGCUGCCAGAUGCAUGUGUAUGGACAUCCAUUAUCAUUCUGCCCCAGCUGGGUGUCCCCAUCAGUACCCCUGAGUACACAGUCCUAGUCCUCCCAGUGAGGACUUCGUACACCUCAGGUCUUGCACUCACCCUGCAGUUGAGCAGGCCUUGACACUUUUCUCUGUGCCAUUCCAUUCACCAGUGUCUCCCCCGCUGCCCCUGCCAUAGUGGGGUUGUUUCCAGUGGCCCUCCAGAUAUGGACACCAUGCCUCCGGGCUUACACCUCUCCACCUGCAAUCAGGUUCCUGCCUCUCUGACUCUUCCCUGCUACUCUUUGCCUGCCCCUCAGGAGAUCUGCAUAUAAUUGAACCAGAGUGGUCCACAAUGACUGCCUCGAGCUGCAUUCUCAAUAGCUUCUCUGAGGUUUCUGUAUCAUCAUGACCCAUCAUCAUUUAACAUUAUUCAACUUUCUCAUUUUUUGCCAGCCUAUUAUAGGUACAAAGUGAUGUCUCAUAAUUGCGCUAAUUUGCGCAUUAAUAAUUAACAUUACAAGUUCUUCUUUGUCCUUAAGUCACAAAAAUAUUUUUCUUACAUUUUCUUUUAUCAACUUUAUAUUUUACCUUCCAAUUGUAGGUCUAUUAAACCACAUAGGGCUUAUCUUUGUAUCUCAGAUUAGGUAGGGAUACUUUUUUUUUUUAAUCCUGAUAGUGAACUAGCUUCUUUAACAUUUAAAAUAAUCUGUCAUUGUUUUAAGGUUGCUCCUUUGUCUUCUAUUGUUUUCCCAGAUAUGUAUGUGUUAAUAUUUGGGCAUUCUCUUAAACAGAGUUGAUUGAACAAUUCAGGGACUUGCAUUGCUUCAUCUAAAUUGGAGAGUAAGUUUUGUUUAAAAUGCCAACUGAAAUUUUGAUUAAAUUACAUUGAAUUUAUAGAUUGGGGGAAAUUACUCUCUUUAUAUUGAACCUUCUCAUCCAAGAAUAGGAAUGUUGCUCAAUUUAUUCAGAUUAGCUGUUUUCCUAGCAUUUCUAAGUUUUCUCCAAAAGGUCUUAUAUACUCUCAAAUAAUCCCCAGAUACUUAGGGAUUUUUUUUGGUGGCGGGGGGGUGGGGGUGUUAUGGGGAUUGAACUAGGAGCCCUUUUUCACUAUGCUACAUCCCCAACCCUUUUUAUUUUAGAUGGAAUCUCACUAAGUUGCUGAGUCUAGCCUGGAAUUUGGGAUCCUUCCACCUCAGCCUCCCAAAUUACUGGGAUUACAGGCAUGUGCCAUGAUACCCAGAAAUAUUUAAUGAGUCUUAUUGCUAUUGUGAAUAAUAUUUUGUUAUUAUUUGUUGGUUUUAGCUUCUGUAGAAAAAUGCAGCUGGUUUUUGUAGGUUGAUCUUAUUAUCCAGCAACCUUGCUGAAUGAUCUUAUUAGUUCUAAUAAUUGAUGCUUUUUUAAAAAAAUAGGUAAAUAAAUUAUCUACAAGUAAAUUUUCUCUCUUCUCUUUUAAUCCUUAUGUCUCUUAUUUCUUCUUUAUGGCAUUAUAAAGAUUUUCAAAACUAUCUGAAAUGAUAGCAGUGAUAGUGGGCCUCCUUGUAUUGAUCUUAAAGAGAAUGUGUUUUCCCACAAUAUUUGCUGUAGGUUUUUUAGAAUGACUUUUAUCAAAUUAAGAAAUUUACCUUUUGUUCACUUUUUUUUUCAUAUAUAUAUUUUGGAUGUUGAUGGGUCUUUAUUUAGUUCAUUUAUUUGUAUGUGGUGCUGAGAAUCGAAUCCAGUGCCUCACUUAGGCAAGUGCUAUACCACAGAGCCACAGCUCAGCUCCUGUUCACUAGGAUUUUUUAUUAUGAGAAGAAUUAAACCUUAUAAAACGUCUUUUCUGCAUUAGGAUAAACAAAUUUUCUACUUCAGUCUAUUAAAGUGGUGAAUUAUGAUGAUAAACUCAUCUGAUAAUAACCAUCCUUGCAUCACUGAGAUAAACAAAUACUUAAUUAUGAGGUAUUUUCAAUACACUGUUAGAAUUCAGUUCUAGACUGAAUUCUUCUAGACUCUAUUUUUUUUACUUCAGAGAUUUUUAAAAUGUAUAAUUAAGAUUGAAGUUAUUCAGUAUCUUCACCCUCCUCAAGAACAUUCCA